RNAcentral lists this long non-coding RNA (2721 nucleotides) under Homo sapiens (human). RNAcentral describes it as "non-protein coding APCDD1L-DT:36". The record is from RNAcentral. Lineage: Eukaryota; Metazoa; Chordata; Mammalia; Primates; Hominidae.
AGAAGCGAGGCAGCCGUGAGGCGGAGGACAGGCUGGGGGAUCCCAAAGGGUGCGCUCCAGCCCCCAACCCAGGCACUGGGACUCUGGUGGCACCCUGGGUGGCAGGCAAGCCUUGAAAUCAAGUGCACGAGCCUUGGAAAGGAGGACCGGGAGAGUUAUGGCAUUUAUGAAUGAAGAAGAGAAAGAGAAUCACUCGGAUGGGAAAAGUUAACUGGAUUGUUCCCACCUGCAUGGAUCACCGGAAGCAACUUAGCCGUCUCGCCUUGCGGCCUGGAACCCCUGGCAAUUUCCGGAGCACCGGCAAGAGACUUUUGCACAGUUUCUGCUUGGAGUCUACCGACUGUCUGUCUCAGAGGUCUGGACAGCUGCUUGUUACAUUUGGCUCACGCUAGCUUAAAAAAGGAAUUUAUGGACCUUACUGCAGAACGUCCCAAUUCUUCAGGCCAAGGGUCCAGCUGUGUCUCCAGGGCUGCGUGGCUUAUUGAAAAAGAGAGUGUAUGGUGGAUUUCAAUAUCUAUAUUCUACAAAAAAUGUAAAAGGGGCAGGGGACGGGAACAAAGAAACCAGUGCUGGUGAUCCUGCCCCCACAGUAAGGUCUGCUUUAGUGUGGACAUGGGACAGGGGCCAGCCCCUGCUGCUCCCUGGGGGAACACAGGUCCGUGGGGGUGGCUCACCGUCAUGUAUGUGAUUUUGAUGUUUGUACAUUUGUUGUACCACAUGAACCAGUCUUGGACGGCUGUUCUGAGUAAAUGGGAUGAUGUGGGUAAAGCCCCCAAGACCAGAGCCUGGCACAGGGCCGUGCUGGAUAAUGCUGACUCAUGGUGAUGAGGGGAAGGAGGAGGCAGGAUGCCAUGGGUGAGGAGUCCAGGCUCCAGUGCUGCUGAACCACCAUCCACCAGUAUGAUCUCAGCAAGCCUCUCUCCACCUGGACCCAGAUGAUUCACCCGUUAAACAUCCCAGGCACAUUGAAGGGAGAUGAACAGCGUCCAGCAUGGUCCUCAGCUGUGAGAAGCCAUACACUCGCCUUUUCCACCCUACAACUUUCCGUCAUCUGGGGUGCAGGUUUCUUUCCUCUCUUUUUACUUAUUACAAGGUAAAAUACAGUCUUAUUACAGAAAACUAGAAACCAGAAAAGCCCAUCACACAGUCAUUCAUUCAACAAAUGCGUAUUGGGAAGGGUGGGGAUGAGCCCCUGGUGGAAAUGGGGUGAAGCUGUGGACUUUCUCUGGGUGCGAUGAAGGCUGACGGAGGGCUUUGAGCAUCCUCAAGAUUCAGAAGUCUGUUCUCAGUCAUCAGCAGCUGUACCAGGAGAGGAAGAACCUCUGAAGUGUUCUGGCUCCAAAAGCUAGUGAAAGUGCAGAUUUCCUGAGAAGGAGUGAAGCUUAGGGCCCUGCCAGGCAGUGAUGCUUUCUCAACUUUGGGGGCAGUAAAAUGUACAGACUCUGGGGAAGGAGACCAGGAAGGAGGCUGCAAAGUGUGCAUGCUCUGGGAAGGGGGCAGGGAAGGCUGGCAAAAAGCUGUUGGGGACCCAGCCAGGCUGCUUCCCUUGGAGGCCCAGCCUGAGAUGUGUUUCCCACCAUAUAUGGCAGAAAUGAUUUCAGGUGCUAUGUAGAUAAGCCACGAACUAUCAUUGAAUCUUUUCUUGGUUGUAUUGUGAAAGAAAAAGUCUCUGUUGGGUGCUGGUGUAUCUUCGACACCACUUAACACUUGUCAAGCUCUCCUUUACUGAGGUAAAGCAGUCCUCAGGCUCAGAGCUUGUGACCAGGGAGCGGUAUCUAGCCAAAAUUUUAUUUCAAUGCUUUGUUUUCAUUGUCUUUAAAACAAAAGAUGGUUAUCUUCCAUUUGCCAUGAAAGAUACUGCUUCCCAUUUCUGUUUUUUACUCAUUUUUCAUUAAGGUAUAAUUUGCAUGCAGUAAAGUCUCGUCUUUUUAGUGUACAGUUCUGUGGAAUUUCGAUAAAUGUAUCCAGUGUGCAACCAUCACAUCAAGAUAUAGAAGGGUUCCUUCACCCCUAAAUCCUUCCUUGGGGAUGACAACCUCUCUUCACCCUCAGUCCUUUGCAACUAAUAAUCUGUUUUCUUUUCCUAUAGUUUUGUCUUUUCUAGCAUGUCCCAUAAAUGGAAUCUUAUAGCACGUAGCCUUUUGAGUCUUGCUUCUCUCACUUAGCAGAAUGCAUCUGAUAUCCAUUCACAUUGUGCCUGUAUCAGUAGUUCAUUCAUUUUUAAUAAUGAGUGGUGUUCAGUUGUAGGCCUACACUAUAAUUUGUAGAGGGACAUUAGGAUUGUUUCCAGAUUUGGCAGUUACAAAUAAAGCCCCUAUAAACAUUCACGUACAAGUUUUUCAUGAGCAUGGGUUUUCAUUUCUCUUGGGUAAGUACCGAUAAGUAGGAUUGCUAUGUUGUCUAAUACAUGCAUGUUUAACUUUGUAAGAAAUGGCCAAGCUGUUUUUCAGAGUGGCUAUACUAUUUUGCAUUCCUACCAGCAAUGUACGAGAGUUCCAGUUGCUCCAUAUCCUCAUCAGCACUUGAUGUUGUCAGAUUUUUUUUUUUGUUUUUGUUAGUCUAAUGGGUAUGUACUAGUAUCUCACUGUGGUUUUAGUUUGUAUUUUCCUGAUGACUAAUGAUGUUUAACACCUUUUUAUGGGCUUAUUUAAAAUCACUAUAUUUUCUUUGGUGAAGAUUUCAAACCUUUUGCCCAUUUUAAAAUUCGAAUUGUUUGUGUUU